CGCUAUAGAAGCUAAAUAGGAAACAGCGUUAGCCUUUUAAGCUAAAGAUUGGUGCUUCCCAACCACCCCUAGCGA
This 75-nucleotide transfer RNA is filed under the name Cottus confusus (shorthead sculpin). Its description in RNAcentral is "tRNA-Lys". It matches the Rfam family "tRNA". Rfam says of the family: Transfer RNA (tRNA) molecules are approximately 80 nucleotides in length. Lineage: Eukaryota; Metazoa; Chordata; Actinopteri; Perciformes; Cottidae. The record is from RNAcentral.